GCCGAACGCUGGCGGCGUGCUUAACACAUGCAAGUCGAACGGAAAGGCCCUGCUUUUGUGGGGUGCUCGAGUGGCGAAGGGGUGAGUAACACGUGAGUAACCUGUACUUGACUGAGGGAUAACUUCAGGAAACUGGGGCUAUUACCGGAAAGGAGCUAUUGCUGCAUGGUGGGGGUUGGAAAGUUUCGGCGGUUGGGGAUGGAAUAGCGGAUUAUCAGCUUGAUGGUGGGGUAGUGGCUUACAAAGGCUUUGAAGGGUAGCCGGCCUGGGAGGGGGACCGGACACAUUGGGACUGAGAUACGGCCCAGACUCCUAUGGGAGGCAACGGUGGAGAAUAUUACACAAUGGGCUGAAGCCUGAGGCAGCAACGCCGCGUGCGGGAUGACGUCCUUCGGGUUGUAAACCGCUUUCGCCUUUGCCGAAGCGUUAGUGACGGUAAUGGGUAAAGAAGCACCGGCUAACUACGUG
RNAcentral lists this ribosomal RNA (468 nucleotides) under uncultured bacterium. RNAcentral's name for it is "partial 16S ribosomal RNA". It matches the Rfam family "Bacterial small subunit ribosomal RNA", at positions 28 to 507 of the family's 1533-position model. The record is from RNAcentral.